GUAGGUGGCAAGCGUUGUCCGGAAUUAUUGGGCGUAAAGCGCGCGCAGGCGGUUCUUUAAGUCUGAUGUGAAAGCCCACGGCUCAACCGUGGAGGGUCAUUGGAAACUGGAGAACUUGAGUACAGAAGAGGAAAGCGGAAUUCCACGUGUAGCGGUGAAAUGCGUAGAGAUGUGGAGGAACACCAGUGGCGAAGGCGGCUUUCUGGUCUGUAACUGACGCUGAGGCGCGAAAGCGUGGGGGAGCAAACAGGAUUAGAUACCCUGGUAGUCCACGCCGUGAACGAUGAGUGCUAAGUGUUAGGGGGUUUCCGCCCCCCCCUUAGUGCUGCAGCUAACGCAUUAAGCACUCCGCCUGGGGAGUACGGCCGCAAGGCUG
This 376-nucleotide ribosomal RNA is filed under the name uncultured organism. RNAcentral describes it as "partial 16S ribosomal RNA". It matches the Rfam family "Bacterial small subunit ribosomal RNA", at positions 527 to 896 of the family's 1533-position model. The record is from RNAcentral.